This 722-nucleotide ribosomal RNA is filed under the name uncultured bacterium. RNAcentral describes it as "bacterial SSU rRNA". It matches the Rfam family "Bacterial small subunit ribosomal RNA", at positions 184 to 883 of the family's 1533-position model. The record is from RNAcentral.
UUCCGCAUGGGGAUUCUACUAAAGGUGGCCUCUACUUGUAAGCUAUUGCUUUACGAUGGGUCUGCGUCUGAUUAGCUAGUUGGUGGGGUAACGGCCUACCAAGGCGACGAUCAGUAGCCGGUCUGAGAGGAUGAACGGCCACAUUGGAACUGAGACACGGUCCAGACUCCUACGGGAGGCAGCAGUGGGGAAUCUUCCGCAAUGGGCGCAAGCCUGACGGAGCAACGCCGCGUGAGUGAAGAAGGGUUUCGACUCGUAAAGCUCUGUUGUCGGGGACGAAUGUGGAGAUGGUGAAUAACCAUUUCCAAUGACGGUACCUGACGAGGAAGCCACGGCUAACUACGUGCCAGCAGCCGCGGUAAUACGUAGGUGGCGAGCGUUGUCCGGAAUUAUUGGGCGUAAAGGGAGCGCAGGCGGGAAGGUAAGUCUAUCUUAAAAGUGCGGGGCUCAACCCCGUGAGGGGAUGGAAACUAUCUUUCUUGAGUGCAGGAGAGGAAAGCGGAAUUCCUAGUGUAGCGGUGAAAUGCGUAGAUAUUAGGAGGAACACCAGUGGCGAAGGCGGCUUUCUGGACUGUAACUGACGCUGAGGCUCGAAAGCGUGGGGAGCGAACAGGAUUAGAUACCCUGGUAGUCCACGCCGUAAACGAUGAAUGCUAGGUGUAGGAGGUAUCGACCCCUUCUGUGCCGGAGUUAACGCAAUAAGCAUUCCGCCUGGGGAGUAC